Molecule: ribosomal RNA, 433 nt
Filed under: uncultured bacterium
Lineage: Bacteria
Description: partial 16S ribosomal RNA
Rfam family: Bacterial small subunit ribosomal RNA
Source: RNAcentral
AACGAACGCUGGCGGCAUGCCUAACACAUGCAAGUCGAACGAGACCUUCGGGUCUAGUGGCGCACGGGUGCGUAACGCGUGGGAACCUGCCCUUAGGUUCGGAAUAACUCCCCGAAAGGGGUGCUAAUACCGGAUAAUGUCUUCGGACCAAAGAUUUAUCGCCUUUGGAUGGGCCCGCGUUGGAUUAGCUAGUUGGUAGGGUAAAAGCCUACCAAGGCGAGGAUCCAUAGCUGGUCUGAGAGGAUGAUCAGCCACACUGGGACUGAGACACGGCCCAGACUCCUACGGGAGGCAGCAGUGGGGAAUAUUGGACAAUGGGCGAAAGCCUGAUCCAGCAAUGCCGCGUGAGUGAUGAAGGCCUUAGGGUUGUAAAGCUCUUUUAACCGGGAUGAUAAUGACAGUACCGGGAGAAUAAGCUCCGGCUAACUCCGUG